AUGGGUGGGAGAUCAAUUGUUAAUAGUAGAAAGAUUGCUUGGAUUUCUCUCAAGUGUAACAGACAAAAUGGGUCAUAUGAGUGCGGAUACUAUGUAAUGUAUUGGAUGACCCAUAUUGUUCGUUCUCACAUCACAAGUCGCUGGGAAACGAGAUUCAAGACUACUACACCAGUUCCUGAGAAGUCACUAUUAUUCAUUAGGAACGCUGCUGCGAAGUAUAUAAUUAGAUUAUACAAUAGCUCUUAGAUUUAAACAUUGCAUUUGAUUAGAUUGAAUUUUCUUAGACUUUGUACUUUAUUUGAUGUUGAAAUACAUUUGAACAUGUGUUUGUUAUGUUCAAAUUGAAUU
Molecule: non-coding RNA, 348 nt
Organism: Vigna umbellata (rice bean)
Lineage: Eukaryota; Viridiplantae; Streptophyta; Magnoliopsida; Fabales; Fabaceae
Source: RefSeq, a predicted model, not a curated record